This 381-nucleotide ribosomal RNA is filed under the name Enterobacter sp. RNAcentral describes it as "bacterial SSU rRNA". It matches the Rfam family "Bacterial small subunit ribosomal RNA", at positions 280 to 653 of the family's 1533-position model. The record is from RNAcentral. Lineage: Bacteria; Pseudomonadati; Pseudomonadota; Gammaproteobacteria; Enterobacterales; Enterobacteriaceae.
UCCCUAGCUGGUCUGAGAGGAUGACCAGCCACACUGGAACUGAGACACGGUCCAGACUCCUACGGGAGGCAGCAGUGGGGAAUAUUGCACAAUGGGCGCAAGCCUGAUGCAGCCAUGCCGCGUGUAUGAAGAAGGCCUUCGGGUUGUAAAGUACUUUCAGCGGGGAGGAAGGUGUUGAGGUUAAUAACCUCAGCAAUUGACGUUACCCGCAGAAGAAGCACCGGCUAACUCCGUGCCAGCAGCCGCGGUAAUACGGAGGGUGCAAGCGUUAAUCGGAAUUACUGGGCGUAAAGCGCACGCAGGCGGUCUGUCAAGUCGGAUGUGAAAUCCCCGGGCUCAACCUGGGAACUGCAUUCGAAACUGGCAGGCUAGAGUCUUGUA